Molecule: ribosomal RNA, 484 nt
Filed under: uncultured bacterium
Lineage: Bacteria
Description: partial 16S ribosomal RNA
Rfam family: Bacterial small subunit ribosomal RNA
Source: RNAcentral
AUUGAACGCUGGCGGCAUGCUUUACACAUGCAAGUCGAACGGCAGCGCGGGCUUCGGCCUGGCGGCGAGUGGCGAACGGGUGAGUAAUGCAUCGGAACGUGCCCAGUAGUGGGGGAUAGCCCGGCGAAAGCCGGAUUAAUACCGCAUACGACCUGAGGGUGAAAGCGGGGGACCGAAAGGCCUCGCGCUAUUGGAGCGGCCGAUGUCGGAUUAGCUAGUUGGUGGGGUAAAGGCUUACCAAGGCGACGAUCCGUAGCUGGUCUGAGGGGACGACCAGCCACACUGGGACUGAGACACGGCCCAGACUCCUACGGGAGGCAGCAGUGGGGAAUUUUGGACAAUGGGGGCAACCCUGAUCCAGCCAUGCCGCGUGCGAGAAGAAGGCCUUCGGGUUGUAAACCGCUUUUGUUCGGGAAGAAAUCCUCUGGGCUAAUACCCCGGGGGGAUGACGGUACCGGAAGAAUAAGCACCGGCUAACUACGUG